RNAcentral lists this ribosomal RNA (250 nucleotides) under Theileria equi. RNAcentral's name for it is "partial 18S ribosomal RNA". It matches the Rfam family "Eukaryotic small subunit ribosomal RNA", at positions 513 to 796 of the family's 1831-position model. The record is from RNAcentral. Lineage: Eukaryota; Apicomplexa; Aconoidasida; Piroplasmida; Theileriidae.
AAUGAUGGGAAUUUAAACCUCUUCCAGAGUAUCAAUUGGAGGGCAAGUCUGGUGCCAGCAGCCGCGGUAAUUCCAGCUCCAAUAGCGUAUAUUAAACUUGUUGCAGUUAAAAAGCUCGUAGUUGAAUUUCUGCUGCAUCGUGGUUCUUCGCUAUGUCGAGUGGGCCUCGUUGUGGCUUAGUUGGGGCAUGUUUUCAUGACUCGACGUUUACUUUAAGAAAAUUAGAGUGCUUAAAGCAGGCUUUUGCCUU